UUCUUAUCCAGAGAGGCGGAGGGACUGGCCCUUUGAUGCCCGGCAACCAUUCAAUCAAUUUAUUAUUAAUUGGAACGGUGCCAAUUCCUGCAAGGUGAAGACCUUGGGAGAUGAGAG
RNAcentral lists this non-coding RNA (117 nucleotides) under Pontibacillus yanchengensis. RNAcentral's name for it is "SAM-I sequence". It matches the Rfam family "SAM riboswitch aptamer (S box leader)". From Rfam's summary of the family: The SAM riboswitch is found upstream of a number of genes which code for proteins involved in methionine or cysteine biosynthesis in Gram-positive bacteria. The SAM riboswitch acts at the level of transcription termination control. The predicted structure consists of a complex stem-loop region followed by a single stem loop terminator region. Lineage: Bacteria; Bacillati; Bacillota; Bacilli; Caryophanales; Bacillaceae. RNAcentral also lists the same sequence under 1 other name. The record is from RNAcentral.